Biomphalaria pfeifferi is the source of this 256-nucleotide non-coding RNA. The record is from the annotation of a GenBank genome assembly. NCBI's taxonomy places the organism in Eukaryota, Metazoa, Mollusca, Gastropoda, Planorbidae.
ACAAUGGAAUCGAAACGAAGUUUCUAUUUGUUUGGAACAACAAAAUUAUCGUUUCUAUUUUAUAAGCAAUAAGGCCUAUAAACAAAACAAGGACUUACCUGACUUGCGCACAUAUAGUCUCUUAUAAAGUCUAAUGUAAAUGAAAGAGUCAAAAGUAUUUGAAAUGAAUUGUGAAGUGAUCAUUACAAACAGAGUACAGUCCCCUUCCGUCCGUCUGCUCUUGAUCUAGUCUCGACUUUUGGAAUGUAAUCUUAUU